CUUUUUUUUUUUUUUUUUUAUUUCAGAUGAUUAACAGAUAUGGUUUUUAAUUUGGGAUGUUUUGCUUCCUGUGAAUUUGUUUUUAAAUUUGAUUAAUUGAGACACACACACAGGACGAAAUCUCUUCUCGACUGGUUAAGAGAGAGAGAACGUAAUCUCUUCUCUUGACUGGUUGGGUUCCACAAAUAUUGUGGAUAAACAUUCGCCCUUGACACCAUAACAAAGCUGUUGUUUAUUUGCAUAUGUUUUCCUGACGUAGGCAAAUUAUUGAACCAUGUAAGAAUUCCUCGUGCCUUGUUGUUUCUCUGCUUUUUGGUUUAAUCCUAUCGCUGAGUGUGUGCUGUGCAAGAUCAUCCCUAACAAAUGCUUGUGGAUGUUGCGUUGCAAGUUCAGAUACACAAAUGGUCUAUUUUGUUAUGUUUUAUUAAGAACUAUGAUAAAUUCAUGGAUUCUUUUGAUUGCUCUCUCCGGAUAUGCAUUUUGUUUCUUCAUAAUCCAAGCCAAUGAUCUUUACGUCAAAAUCUUAUAUUGUGUACUGUAAAUAGGUAAAUAAAGAAAUAGUGAAGG
Molecule: unclassified non-coding RNA, 567 nt
Filed under: Hevea brasiliensis (rubber tree)
Lineage: Eukaryota; Viridiplantae; Streptophyta; Magnoliopsida; Malpighiales; Euphorbiaceae
Source: RNAcentral